GAUUAUAUAUUUUUUAAUAAAAAUGAAAAUUUUAUUUAUCACCAUAAAACAAGUUACAAUAGCCUAAUCAGCCUGUAUAUAACAUACAGCGUCAGGUGACCCCCAAGAGGACAAACCCUCUGAAUACAUAUUAACCAUCCUUGAUACUCCAACCAAUAUAAACACAGAGAAAUACAAAAAGGCAUACAAUCAUGACUGCAGCUGCCUUCUUAGUCCAUCCCGUUUCGAUAUUACCUGCAGCAACACAAUUCAACCUAAACCAAACAUCAUUCCUUGAUCCCUGUAGACAGCCUCAACAUUCUACCUGCACUCUUGAAGAUCCUUCACAAACAUUAUAGUCUACAGCCACUGUACUCCCUGCAUGAUAGAAACCUGCAAACAGUUUCAACCUUUCCACACCAGCCAUACAUGAAUAAGGGAACAAAACUAAGCCAAGUAAAAAUCCAUAAAAGUAUUAUGUGAGACUCCAACAGAUUAGAAAUCAUAGAAAAUUACAAGAACCAACCUGAUUGAUAGUUACUAACCAUUGUUGCAGAUUAACUAAUUAAAUCCAAUGUCCAAGAAAUAAAACCAGAAAAUAUGAAUACUAAAAUGUAACUUCAUACCAAGCAAUUAAUUAAGCAAUACUCAUUUCAUGGUCUCAGGCAUUAUCAUUCUCCCAUGAAUUUAGUUAUUCACUUAAGUAUAUGAUAACUGUAUUAAUAGUGUCCAGAUUAUUGAAAACUAACCUACUGAUCAAGGUUGCCAGAUUUAAUUAACACACCUUCAGCUGCUACCAUUCUCUACUGUUGUGUGUGUGCCUUGUACACUGCUUGUCUCAUUAUUGUUGCCCUGUACAAACAUAGAGUCAUCAGCCAACACAUGCAAAGUGCUUGCUCGCUGCUGCUGCCCAUGGUCACCAGAAAAACGCUACAAACCAUUCCCUGCACUGAACAUUUUGUCUCAUAACAUCAAAAUUCAGCCACAGACUGCAAGUUUGCAGCCAACUCUUAAAAGCAAGAGAUAUCCCUUACUUCCAGUAAGUCCAUAGAAAAAAAAACUUUGAAUUAAAGCAUUUCUGCAAUAAAAUUUUUAACUCAAAUGGAAGGCUCAACAUAAACAAGAUUGUAGAAACAAAUUUAGAAUAAGACAUAGAUGUUGCAAACCACCUCUGGGAGUCAAUAUUGUCGAACAUUGGAAGUCUUUAGUGUUAAGUGUGAACCAAACUUUUCAAGGUGACAAAUCAGUGACAUUCUUUAAUUAAGUGAGACUCCAAGUCUCCAACAGACUAGUAAUCACAGAUAAUUACAAACCAACCUGAUUUAUAGAAAUUUUUGAAUCUUCAAUUUUAACAU
RNAcentral lists this long non-coding RNA (1334 nucleotides) under Aquilegia coerulea. RNAcentral's name for it is "long non-coding RNA (ACOE_LNC001355)". The record is from RNAcentral. Lineage: Eukaryota; Viridiplantae; Streptophyta; Magnoliopsida; Ranunculales; Ranunculaceae.